This is a long non-coding RNA of Diorhabda carinulata, 817 nucleotides long. RefSeq lists it as uncharacterized. NCBI's taxonomy places the organism in Eukaryota, Metazoa, Arthropoda, Insecta, Coleoptera, Chrysomelidae. The record is from RefSeq and is a predicted model, not a curated record. The transcript is spliced from 3 exons.
UUUAGAUAACAUUGCAUAAUUAGUGAAAAUGUCUGAAAAGUGGCGUGACAAGCAUAAAAUAGUGAUAAGAAAAUUAUUUGAAAAAUUUCAUUUGAAAAGUUUAUUGAAAACUCUCUAAAAAGGUAUUGCACAAUCUUAGAUGACAUUGCAUAAUUAGUGAAGAAAGUUGAAUAAAUUGUCUGAAAAGUAGCGUGACAAGCAUAAAAUAGUGAUAAGAAAAUUAUGAUUAUUCUUCUCAGUGCAAAAUUAUAGUUUAAAGUUGUUGCUAGUUAAGAAAAUUAUAAUAAUUUGAAAUCCUCAUUGAAAAAUGAUUUAUAAUUAAAAAGGAUGUCUAUAUAGAGAAAGAAUAAACACGAUGACCCCUAAACCGAUAUAUAUGAUUUGGACUACCACUCAGAAAAUGUAUACGGAAACGAAACCUCAACACAUCUAUCUCGCAACCCAAGCACUUGGCAACAUCUCACAUAUGAUGAAGACUUUUCAAUAUUUAUAUUAUUAGGCUGCCCUUGAAACAAAAACUGCAUUUCUGUGUGCUGCAAAGUCAUACGGAAGUGAAAACCACAAAAAUGGAUUAUUAGCAAGCUGAAGAUUCAAGGCAUCAACUUUUGACCAUAGUUUUAUUUCGAAUGAAAAAACCACAAAAGGUAUAUUUUUUCAAACAUGAUAAAUACGUAUAUAUUGUUAUCACUUUCGCUAUAUUUUUACAUUUUUUCGAAUGAUACAAGAGUUAUAAUUUAUAUACAGAGUGUUAAAAUAUUCUUUUUUUAUAUUUUACGAUCGAUCGAACAAUAAGAUCUCAUAAUUCUCUAUCAACCCU